This 179-nucleotide unclassified non-coding RNA is filed under the name uncultured Metarhizium. RNAcentral describes it as "sequence contains ITS1". The record is from RNAcentral. Lineage: Eukaryota; Fungi; Ascomycota; Sordariomycetes; Hypocreales; Clavicipitaceae.
CCGAGUUUACAACUCCCAAACCCCCUGUGAACUUAUACCUUUACUGUUGCUUCGGCGGGUUCAGCCCCGGGACCAGGCUCGCGAGGGCCUGCCCGGAACCAGGCGCCCGCCGGGGGACCAAACCAAACUCUUGUAUUUACCUUACACGCAUGUCUGAGUGGUAUUUAAAAAAUGAAUCA